GAUGAACGCUGGCGGCGUGCCUAAUACAUGCAAGUCGAGCGAACGGACGAGAAGCUUGCUUCUCUGAUGUUAGCGGCGGACGGGUGAGUAACACGUGGAUAACCUACCUAUAAGACUGGGAUAACUUCGGGAAACCGGAGCUAAUACCGGAUAAUAUUUUGAACCGCAUGGUUCAAAAGUGAAAGACGGUCUUGCUGUCACUUAUAGAUGGAUCCGCGCUGCAUUAGCUAGUUGGUAAGGUAACGGCUUACCAAGGCAACGAUGCAUAGCCGACCUGAGAGGGUGAUCGGCCACACUGAAACUGAGACACGGUCCAGACUCCUACGGGAGGCAGCAGUAGGGAAUCUUCCGCAAUGGGCGAAAGCCUGACGGAGCAACGCCGCGGGAGUGAUGAAGGUCUUCGGUUCGUAAAACUCUGUUAUUAGGGAAGAACAUAUGUGUAAGUAACUGUGCACAUCUUGACGGUACCAAAUCAGAAAGCCACGGCUAACUCCGU
RNAcentral lists this ribosomal RNA (496 nucleotides) under uncultured bacterium. RNAcentral describes it as "partial 16S ribosomal RNA". It matches the Rfam family "Bacterial small subunit ribosomal RNA", at positions 28 to 506 of the family's 1533-position model. The record is from RNAcentral.